Molecule: ribosomal RNA, 216 nt
Filed under: uncultured bacterium
Lineage: Bacteria
Description: partial 16S ribosomal RNA
Rfam family: Bacterial small subunit ribosomal RNA
Source: RNAcentral
UGGGAACGUGCCUUUUGGUUCGGAACAACCCAGGGAAACUUGGGCUAAUACCGGAUAAGCCCUUACGGGGAAAGAUUUAUCGCCAAAAGAUCGGCCCGCGUCUGAUUAGCUAGUUAGUAAGGUAAUGGCCUACCAAGGCUACGAUCAGUAGCUGGUCUGAGAGGAUGAUCAGCCACAUUGGGACUGAGACACGGCCCAGACUCCUACGGGAGGCAG